Molecule: non-coding RNA, 26 nt
Filed under: Rattus norvegicus (Norway rat)
Lineage: Eukaryota; Metazoa; Chordata; Mammalia; Rodentia; Muridae
Source: RNAcentral
UGAAUGUUGACAGGCAUGAGGACAGC